AAGAUUCUGGAAACAGCUCUGCCGC
RNAcentral lists this non-coding RNA (25 nucleotides) under Mus musculus (house mouse). The record is from RNAcentral. Lineage: Eukaryota; Metazoa; Chordata; Mammalia; Rodentia; Muridae.